ACAGUCAAAUUGUGUUGAAAACACCAGUUCUCAUUCAAUCACCAAAGUUAAGCAGUCUCAAGCCCAGACAGUACUUAGAUGGGGGACCACCAGGUACUGUAUGU
Acanthosepion pharaonis is the source of this 104-nucleotide non-coding RNA. The record is from the annotation of a GenBank genome assembly. NCBI's taxonomy places the organism in Eukaryota, Metazoa, Mollusca, Cephalopoda, Sepiida, Sepiidae.